GUCAGGAUUCCAGCCCUGAGACCACUUGGGCUGCCUGUCAGCACACCCUGUCUAGGUGUCUGGAGCAGGUAGCAGCUGCAGGCUGUAACAUCCUCAGGUAUUGUAUUCACUUCCAUGCUCACCUGCCAAUCACCAGGAACUAUAAAAGGGAAUGUAUGUAAAAUUUGUUUUAAUUUGUACAUUUGAGUAUAACAGGCUUUAAUUAAGAUGAGGAAAGAGAUGAAGACAUGCUAAAUGGUGUGUGGGAGACCAUGACGACAUAACAUCCAAUUUAAUGGCUGGUACAAGAAGAAUCAACUUGAAAGCUAAACUUGAAGUGUGUGCAUUGGCCGGUUGGGAAGGGAAAGCUGUUCAUUGUCAACAUGCACCAAAUUACCAUAAGGGCAGCUGAACAUAGGAGGCAAAAGGAGAGAGAGAGCGCGAGGAAUGAAGGCUCAGAAGAAAAACUGUUGAAGGAAGAGAAAUAAACGACACACAGAAUUGGAAUGUGAAGUGGCUGGAGAUCUAGUGGGCUUUUUGAAACAUCCCGGCACGCCUACGCUACACACAUGUCAGCUGGGCCUGAAAUUUCCACUGCGCAAGGCCUUCAUGUCAAAAGAAGCUUUUUGUAAAAAGAAGUAAAAAGAAAAAGAAAGAAAAGAAAAGAAAAAGGAAAGAAACCAGAGAGGAGGAAGCUGCAAUAUCCCAAGAUGGCAUCUAUAAACCAAGAUAUUUCAACGUUUCCUCUGGUAACUUGCUCUU
Molecule: long non-coding RNA, 741 nt
Organism: Myotis brandtii (Brandt's bat)
Lineage: Eukaryota; Metazoa; Chordata; Mammalia; Chiroptera; Vespertilionidae
Exons: 3
Source: RefSeq, a predicted model, not a curated record